GAUGAACGCUGGCGGCGUGCCUAAUACAUGCAAGUCGAGCGAACGGACGAGAAGCUUGCUUCUCUGAUGUUAGCGGCGGACGGGUGAGUAACACGUGGAUAACCUACCUAUAAGACUGGGAUAACUUCGGGAAACCGGAGCUAAUACCGGAUAAUAUUUUGAACCGCAUGGUUCAAAAGUGAAAGACGGUCUUGCUGUCACUUAUAGAUGGAUCCGCGCUGCAUUAGCUAGUUGGUAAGGUAACGGCUUACCAAGGCAACGAUGCAUAGCCGACCUGAGAGGGUGAUCGGCCACACUGGAACUGAGACACGGCCCAGACACCUACGGGAGGCAGCAGUAGGGAAUCUUCCGCAAUGGGCGAAAGCCUGACGGAGCAACGCCGCGUGAGUGAUGAAGGUCUUCGGAUCGUAAAACUCUGUUAUUAGGGAAGAACAUAUGUGUAAGUAACUGUGCACAUCUUGACGGUACCUAAUCAGAAAGCCACGGCUAACUACGUG
Molecule: ribosomal RNA, 497 nt
Filed under: uncultured bacterium
Lineage: Bacteria
Description: partial 16S ribosomal RNA
Rfam family: Bacterial small subunit ribosomal RNA
Source: RNAcentral